Aplysia californica (California sea hare) is the source of this 1115-nucleotide long non-coding RNA. RefSeq lists it as uncharacterized. Lineage: Eukaryota; Metazoa; Mollusca; Gastropoda; Aplysiida; Aplysiidae. The record is from RefSeq and is a predicted model, not a curated record. The transcript has 2 exons.
AUAAAAAGGCGUUUACCUAGUGUUCCUUGUCGGCCUGCUCCAGGGGCCGGGAACCCUACACCGCUGCGUGUUGCUGGAGAUUAGGCCCCUGUGAUUUAAUGAGUGCACCCCCUGCCUGUUCCUAGUCUGGGGGGCUGGCCCGAGCUGCCUGCCAGUCUGGCAAAUGAUACUCAUAGAAUUACGAGAUUUGGAAAGGACAGAACGGGCUGAGGCGUAUUUAUUUUUUUCAGUAUGCAAAACCGCUGCUUUGUAUUGUACAACAUAUUAUAAGCUUACAGUGUUAAAAAAAGAGACUUAUCAAAAUCAGAUUGUGAAUGUUUCUUACUUCCGGAGAAUAGACGUCGUGAUAGUAAGAGUGCCCUUAAAUUCUCAGUUACCAGUGUAGGGGGAUAUCUAUCCGUUGUGUAAAGCCCACUUUUAGUGAGUCAUUUUGUAACAGACGUAACAUCAUUUAUAGACGCCUUCUGUUCAUAUUCUUGUUUCUGUGGGUGUUUCUGUGAUAUGACUGCGUUCCCGGGACAGACACCGGAGCCCGCCGGUGGCUGAGGAUCGUGGUGGUGGUGGUGGUGGUGUUGGACCGUGCCGCUGUCAGUGGUCUCCUCUCGCUCUGCCUCAGCAGAUCCAGUGCCUGCUUUGUCCGCCCAACCGUGCUGUAGCUGCUGCUGCUGCUCUUGCUGUCGAGCCCAGCUGCGUCUGUGAUCGCGUUGCUGCUGUCUUCUCUUGUGGUCGACAUUAAAGGGUUUGUUGGGGUUUUUUUCCUCUGAAAAAGUCAUCAACAUACUUAACCGCUUUCAGGAAAAUAACCGCACUACCCGAUUUAAUAACUGUACUCUGUGAGACUGGAGGUUUGUUUUAGAGACAUCAAACCAAAAGGAAAACAAAACAAAAGAAAAACGGACGACCAGCACUUUGAGUAAACGUGAAGCCUUGGCUGGCUAAUGUAGGCGCUGUGGUGUGUGAGUGUGUGUGUGUGUGUGACAUAAGCCGAGUUUUAGACUGUACUACGAGUUUUUCCAUAUCAUCGUCGGAUAUAUCGUAUUCCCGUGGAGUGUCUGGGACCCAAGUGAUACACACACGGACGGACACGGCCAUAACCAAGCGCCAUGCCUUACAAG